Molecule: ribosomal RNA, 245 nt
Filed under: uncultured bacterium
Lineage: Bacteria
Description: partial small subunit ribosomal RNA
Rfam family: Bacterial small subunit ribosomal RNA
Source: RNAcentral
AGAAUCAACGUUGGCGGCGUGCCUAACACAUGCAAGUCGCACGAGAAAGGGACUUCGGUCCUGAGUACAGUGGCGCACGGGUGAGUAACACGUGAAUCAUCUACCUUCGAGUGGGGAAUAACUGAGAGAAAUCUUAGCUAAUACCGCAUAAUACCUACGGGUCAAAGCAGCAAUGCGCUUGAAGAGGAGUUCGCGGCAGAUUAGUUAGUUGGCGGGGUAAUGGCCCACCAAGACGAUGAUCUGUA